RNAcentral lists this unclassified non-coding RNA (207 nucleotides) under uncultured Sebacinales. Its description in RNAcentral is "sequence contains ITS2". The record is from RNAcentral. Lineage: Eukaryota; Fungi; Basidiomycota; Agaricomycetes; Sebacinales.
UAAUCUCACUUCUACCACUUUGUUGUUGUAGAAUGUGGACUUGGACGUCUGCCGUGUCACAACGGCUCGUCUUAAAUGCCUGAGUGUACCCCGCUUUGCGGCGUAUUCGGUGUGAUAAACAUUUCACCGGAGUUUGGUCUCUGACCGCGCUUUAGCAAUUGGUGGGCUCUAUGCUUUCCAACCGUCUUCAUAAGACAAUCUUUGACA